GACCACUGUUUUAGAGUAAUAAUAAUAUACUCUUUCAUUCAUACGCAGCAGGUAAAGUGCGCAAGCUCAUACGGCCGUCAUACGGCCUCAUAAGGCUGCAGCCUCUGGAGGUCGCGUGUCUUAUUUCAGAAAGUUAACAAGUAUAAAGUUGACUAUUAUUCUUAGUUUAUCGUAAAUUGUUGUAAUAUGCUUAUGACUUGCGAAUGUAAUGCUCAGUUAACUUAAUAAACCAGGUUUGAUGACGUAUACAGCCCGCCUAUGCGACCUCCGUAGGAUGCAGCCUUCCGUUUGAGAAACGGCCUAUACCGAGGGCGAGCGUCCGCGAAAUUUUAUCUGAAUUGAUUCUUCAACAAUGGCAGAGCAAACAUUUACUGUCGUAAUGAUUAAACACAUUUUAACGUUUAAAUUAAAACUCCUACCUUUCCAGGGGUUUCUGUUCCUUCAGCCUUCCAGCGAGACUUCAGUCAUACUGUAACCGUUUCCCAAUGUCAAGAAAGGAUCCUCGGAAGCCAGAAUUUCUAGGAUGCUACGUCAUCGUCAGAGCCGGCCCUAGACCUUCGGGGGCCCUAACCACAAUUUGGUCAGGGGCCCAUUAGAUCGAAAAAACUCAAGCUCAUCAUGCUCGGAGAGUCCAUUCUGGGGGUAAAAAAUGGAUGCUUUCCAUCGAGGGCAGAGUUCUCCUCCAAUUGAGUGACCGUUGUGAUUUCACUUCUGCUCUAGCCAUGUAUGAUGCAGCCACUACAUUGGAAUUUAUCCAGAGGGUAGAGUCCAGCCCAGGAAGUCAACUAGUUCAGGUCCAGUUUUAAAAGAAUAAUAGUUCUGAAAAAAAAACCGUCUUGGAGAAAAACAAUAUUCAGGUUUGAAAUCCUGCUGUAAAUGUAAAUCAUUUAAUUUUUAUGCAUUUGUAAUUUACCAGAAACAUUUUAAUAAAUAUUGAUUGUUUUGUGUGUUCAGAAAAGUGUUUUUGUAUGAAGUGUUGAAAUUAAAUGAAAUAUUCACAGAAAAAUGUUAACAUAUAAAAAAAAUGUAUGUGUUCAGAAAAGUUUUGAGAUGUUCACAGAAAAAAUGUAACAUGUUGAAAAAAAUGUAUGCUAUGCUAUUUUUAAAUUAUGAAUUUUUGUAAUUUAAAGUGAGAAAAUAAAAGGCAUUUUUGUGACAAACAGUGUCUUCAUUUUACAGUACACAAAAUAAAUGCAGUAAUCCCUAUUACAGUAGUAGUUAUGAAAUACAGUACUGUGAUUAUUACUGUAAAAGAGUUCACAGUAAUUUUAAUUUUACUGCAGUUACAUUUACAGUAAGAAUACUGUGAAAUGAAAUACAGCAACUUACUAGCUAAUUGCUGCCAGCAAGUUACUGUAUUUUUCACAGUAUUC
Paramisgurnus dabryanus is the source of this 1373-nucleotide non-coding RNA. Lineage: Eukaryota; Metazoa; Chordata; Actinopteri; Cypriniformes; Cobitidae. The record is from RefSeq and is a predicted model, not a curated record.